GACGAACGCUGGCGGCGUGCUUAACACAUGCAAGUCGAACGGAAAGGCCCUGCUUUUGUGGGGUGCUCGAGUGGCGAACGGGUGAGUAACACGUGAGUAACCUGCCCUUGACUUUGGGAUAACUUCAGGAAACUGGGGCUAAUACCGGAUAGGAGCUCCUGCUGCAUGGUGGGGGUUGGAAAGUUUCGGCGGUUGGGGAUGGACUCGCGGCUUAUCAGCUUGUUGGUGGGGUAGUGGCUUACCAAGGCUUUGACGGGUAGCCGGCCUGAGAGGGUGACCGGCCACAUUGGGACUGAGAUACGGCCCAGACUCCUACGGGAGGGAGCAGUUGGGAAUAUUGCACAAUGGGCGGAAGCCUGAUGCAGCAACGCCGCGUGCGGGAUGACGGCCUUCGGGUUGUAAACCGCUUUCGCCUGUGACGAAGCGUGAGUGACGGUAAUGGGUAAAGAAGCACCGGCUAACUACGUG
Molecule: ribosomal RNA, 468 nt
Filed under: uncultured bacterium
Lineage: Bacteria
Description: partial 16S ribosomal RNA
Rfam family: Bacterial small subunit ribosomal RNA
Source: RNAcentral